RNAcentral lists this ribosomal RNA (602 nucleotides) under Streptococcus mutans. RNAcentral's name for it is "bacterial SSU rRNA". It matches the Rfam family "Bacterial small subunit ribosomal RNA", at positions 365 to 958 of the family's 1533-position model. Lineage: Bacteria; Bacillati; Bacillota; Bacilli; Lactobacillales; Streptococcaceae. The record is from RNAcentral.
UCGGCAAUGGACGAAAGUCUGACCGAGCAACGCCGCGUGAGUGAAGAAGGUUUUCGGAUCGUAAAGCUCUGUUGUAAGUCAAGAACGUGCGUGAGAGUGGAAAGUUCACACAGUGACGGUAGCUUACCAGAAAGGGACGGCUAACUACGUGCCAGCAGCCGCGGUAAUACGUAGGUCCCGAGCGUUGUCCGGAUUUAUUGGGCGUAAAGGGAGCGCAGGCGGUCAGGAAAGUCUGGAGUAAAAGGCUAUGGCUCAACCAUAGUGUGCUCUGGAAACUGUCUGACUUGAGUGCAGAAGGGGAGAGUGGAAUUCCAUGUGUAGCGGUGAAAUGCGUAGAUAUAUGGAGGAGCACCAGUGGCGAAAGCGGCUCUCUGGUCUGUCACUGACGCUGAGGCUCGAAAGCGUGGGUAGCGAACAGGAUUAGAUACCCUGGUAGUCCACGCCGUAAACGAUGAGUGCUAGGUGUUAGGCCCUUUCCGGGGCUUAGUGCCGGAGCUAACGCAAUAAGCACUCCGCCUGGGGAGUACGACCGCAAGGUUGAAACUCAAAGGAAUUGACGGGGGCCCGCACAAGCGGUGGAGCAUGUGGUUUAAUUCGAGGCA